Long non-coding RNA from Topomyia yanbarensis, 386 nucleotides. RefSeq lists it as uncharacterized. The transcript has 3 exons. Lineage: Eukaryota; Metazoa; Arthropoda; Insecta; Diptera; Culicidae. The record is from RefSeq and is a predicted model, not a curated record.
AGAUGCCAUUGCCAAAGAAAUGUACGAAUGCUAGAACAAUCAAACUUUCCCACGGGAAAAGAGACCAUCAAAUUUGUAUACUGAUAAGGGCUUCAGAAAUUUACCAACUUCUGUAGCCAAAACUGGCAUGUCAUUGACAGGGGAUACAGGAGCUAAAAAUACGCCAAAGACCUUCAAGUUAUCUGCCUGUCGGCCAGAACUGGAUUUAUUAUACCGAUAUGCGGAGAGAUCACCAAGUUGCACGGAAAGAAAAUCGCCGAAUAAAACGGAAGCAAAGUCAAAUAGCCAGGCAAUACUGAUAACAGUGCUUUGUGAAACUCGUUCAUCGUCAUCGGAAGAACGAGAAACUUGGCGAAAAUAUACCUUCCGCUCACAUCUCGAUCGGG